AGCCGAAACACUCCAACUUUGGAGUGUCCACCGUGGGAUGGUCUCCCGGUGCUGAUGAUGGCAGACCGGA
This 70-nucleotide non-coding RNA is filed under the name Agathobacter rectalis. Lineage: Bacteria; Bacillati; Bacillota; Clostridia; Lachnospirales; Lachnospiraceae. The record is from RNAcentral.